AACGAACGCUGGCGGCGUGGAUAAGACAUGCAAGUCGAACGCUAAUUUCAGGGUAGCAAUAUUCUGAAGUUGGAGUGGCGUAAGGGUGCGUAACACGUGGGCAAUUUGCCAUGAAGUUGGGGAUAACUCGCUGAAAGGCGAGCUAAUACCGAAUGUGACUUCUCGGGGGCCUCCCUGGGCAGUUAAAGUUGGGGACCGCAAGGCCUGGACGCUUCAUGAUAAGCCCGCGGCCUAUCAGCUAGUUGGUGAGGUAACGGCCCACCAAGGCAAAGACGGGUAGCUGGUCUGACGAGGACGACCAGCCACACUGGAACUGAGACACGGUCCAGACACCUACGGGUGGCUG
This 346-nucleotide ribosomal RNA is filed under the name uncultured Verrucomicrobiota bacterium. Its description in RNAcentral is "bacterial SSU rRNA". It matches the Rfam family "Bacterial small subunit ribosomal RNA", at positions 29 to 351 of the family's 1533-position model. Lineage: Bacteria; Pseudomonadati; Verrucomicrobiota. The record is from RNAcentral.